AGACGACGCUGGCGGCGUGCCUAGUACAUGUAAGUCGAACGGUCUUUCUAUGGAAGCUUGCUUCCACUGAGAAGAUAGUGGCGAACGGGUGAGUAACACGUGGGUAACCUGCCCAUAAGAGGGGGAUAACAUCCGGAAACGGGUGCUAAUACCGCAUAGUUUUCUUGAUCGCAUGAUUGAGAAAGGAAAGACGGCCUUUGUGCUGUCGCUUAUGGAUGGACCCGCGGCGUAUUAGUUAGUUGGUGAGGUAACGGCUCACCAAGACGAUGAUACGUAGCCGACCUGAGAGGGUGAUCGGCCACAUUGGGACUGAGACACGGCCCAAACUCCUACGGGAGGCAGCAGUAGGGAAUCUUCCGCAAUGGACGAAAGUCUGACGGAGCAACGCCGCGUGAGUGAAAGAAGGUUUUCGGAUCGUAAAACUCUGUUGUCAGAGAAGAACAAGUUGGAGAGUAACUGCUCCAGCCUUGACGGUACCUGACCAGAAAGCCACGGCUAACUACGUGCCAGCAGCGGC
This 517-nucleotide ribosomal RNA is filed under the name uncultured bacterium. Its description in RNAcentral is "bacterial SSU rRNA". It matches the Rfam family "Bacterial small subunit ribosomal RNA", at positions 32 to 518 of the family's 1533-position model. The record is from RNAcentral.